UGCUGGUUCUUCUAAGUCUCAUUGAAAGUCAUUUUUCCAGUGACUGGCAGAUUCAGUGACUUUCAAUAGGACUUGCACUCCCAUGUCACUUAGGUGCUUUAAAAAUGUUACUCACAAUGUUUAAAGACAACUGAUCCACAGAUUCUGUGAGCAGUGCAGAUGCAUUAUGGGGAAGAGCUGCUGUAAUGCAGGUUGAAAUGGUUACAGAAAUGAAAGACUGGAGAAUCAGACCCCUUCUUUGAGCCUGGAAUGGAUAUGAGGAUGGCCUCUGAAGACAAUACACAUUACUUAAAGGAAGUGGUUGUCCGUGCAGUUCCAUUGUGUUUCAUUUUGCACUCAGCCCUUCUGGAGAAGGGGUGUUAUAUAAGGCAAGAUCAUUACCAUUUGUUCUAACUGAAAUAACAGCAUUUGAGGUCAGUUUUAUUUGCAUCA
Long non-coding RNA from Pelodiscus sinensis (Chinese soft-shelled turtle), 432 nucleotides. RefSeq lists it as uncharacterized. The record is from RefSeq and is a predicted model, not a curated record. NCBI's taxonomy places the organism in Eukaryota, Metazoa, Chordata, Testudines, Trionychidae.